Molecule: transfer RNA, 183 nt
Filed under: Thermococcus litoralis
Lineage: Archaea; Methanobacteriati; Methanobacteriota; Thermococci; Thermococcales; Thermococcaceae
Description: 16S-23S ribosomal RNA intergenic spacer
Rfam family: tRNA (bases 46-119)
Source: RNAcentral
AAACCCAUCCGGGGGGCUUAAGGGGUGUUGGGCCUGCCAUUUCGUGGGCCGGUAGCUCAGCCUGGGAGAGCGCCGGCUUUGCAAGCCGGAGGCCCCGGGUUCAAAUCCCGGCCGGUCCACCACGAACAGGUGCACAUCCCGAGCAACGCUCGGGGUGGAAGGGUCCUAGGCCCCGAACAGGGG